GAUGAACGCUGGCGGCGUGCCUAAUACAUGCAAGUCGAGCGAACGGACGAGAAGCUUGCUUCUCUGAUGUUAGCGGCGGACGGGUGAGUAACACGUGGAUAACCUACCUAUAAGACUGGGAUAACUUCGGGAAACCGUAGCUAAUACCGGAUAAUAUUUUGAACCGCAUGGUUCAAAAGUGAAAGACGGUCUUGCUGUCACUUAUAGAUGGAUCCGCGCUGCAUUAGCUAGUUGGCAAGGUAACGGCUUACCAAGGCAACGAUGCAUAGCCGACCUGAGAGUGUGAUCGGCCACACUGGAACUUAGACACGGUCCUAACUCCUACGGGAGGCAGCAGUAGGGAAUCUUCCGCAAUGGGCGAAAGCCUGACGGAGCAACGCCGCGUGAGUGAUGAAGGUCUUCGGAUCGUAAAACUCUGUUAUUAGGGAAGAACAUAUGUGUAAGUAACUGUGCACAUCUUGACGGUACCUAAUCAGAAAGCCACGGCUAACUACGUG
RNAcentral lists this ribosomal RNA (497 nucleotides) under uncultured bacterium. RNAcentral describes it as "partial 16S ribosomal RNA". It matches the Rfam family "Bacterial small subunit ribosomal RNA", at positions 28 to 507 of the family's 1533-position model. The record is from RNAcentral.